UACGGAGGGAGCGAGCGUUGUUCGGAAUUACUGGGCGUAAAGCGUAUGUAGGCGGUUUUUUAAGACAGAUGUGAAAUCCCAGGGCUUAACCCUGGAACUGCAUUUGUGACUGGAAGACUCGAGUAUCGGAGAGGUUGGCGGAAUUCCCAGUGUAGCAGUGAAAUGCGCAGAUAUUUUGAGGAACACCGAUGGCGUAAGCAGCCAACUGGACGAUUACUGACGCUUAGAUACGAAAGUAUGGGGAGCAAACAGG
This 253-nucleotide ribosomal RNA is filed under the name uncultured bacterium. RNAcentral's name for it is "partial 16S ribosomal RNA". It matches the Rfam family "Bacterial small subunit ribosomal RNA", at positions 524 to 776 of the family's 1533-position model. The record is from RNAcentral.